Non-coding RNA from Podarcis lilfordi (Lilford's wall lizard), 1484 nucleotides. Lineage: Eukaryota; Metazoa; Chordata; Lepidosauria; Squamata; Lacertidae. The record is from the annotation of a GenBank genome assembly.
CCGAAUACUGUAAUGAGCCAAGCCGCUCUUAAUAAGGAGUGGGGGGAAUCGGUUUCAAUUCCAGUCGUGGAGUUUAGCCAGGGUGGGGAUCGGGCAGAGAAGACGCAGCUCCCAAACGAAGCUAUAAUCGCUCCAGUAACAGACUGGAGGAGGAGAUGAUUUCGUUAGAGGUAGGAAAGGAAGUGCCAUUAAUUCCUUGUCCCCCGACGAGUCCUUCGCAGACCUGCGAUUAAGGCCACCGAUCGGGGGCGGGAGAGAGACGUUUCCAUUGCGUCUUUUCCUCCCUUCCACUCUCCCGUCGCUCGCAGCAAACCCUUUGAUCGACAGAGGGGCGAAAACCACGUUAGGGCCGCGCCAUCCCACCCCCUCGUACUUGCGAGGCCGUCUAGGGGAUUGAAACGCGCGAGCCUGAGCUCAGAAGGAUCCUGCAGUCGCUGUGAGGGACAGGGCGGCCUGCAGGAGGCUUCCCCCGAAAAGAGACCCCACUGAGGUCAGGGGGGCUCAGUCCCAACCGAGUGUGCCAACGCGCCCUGGGCCUUUCAGGCCGACCUGCUGCUCCCCGUCGCAACUUUCGACGGCCGUUUGGCCGCCUUGAUUCGCGGUUGAAGCCCGCAAGUCUGUCCGCCGCGAAACGACAAGGCGUCGGGUCUAUGGGGGAUUGGCUACUUGGAGAGGGGAAAGGACGGGAAACGGAGCCAGUGGAUUGGGGCUUCACUAAGGCCCUGGGGUGGUUCUAAUAUUGUGCUUUAAAUUGUUGUAGCCCGCCCCGGGACUUAAGGGUGAAGAGGGGGUGAUAAAAUAACAACAAACACCACGGCUUCCACCAGCAGCAACAACAGAUUUAAUCAAUUCAUUGGUACUUUGGGCUUGCGGGUUUAAACAGAAUAAUAGAAUCAGAAUAUCAUACAAAACAAGAAGAGAGAAUGUGCUUACGUUGCUAGCUUCCGGAUUGCCAACACUUUCAAGCGCCUUAAACUUUGGCUGCAAAUUGUCCUUGAAUUGCUGCGCUGGCUUUCCAGCGUGGCUGCAAAAUGCCUACGGCACUGCCACCCAGUGCCUUCUCUCUCUCUCUCUCUCUCUCUCUCUCUCUCUCUCUCUCUCUCCACACACACACACACACACUGCUUUCUACAGAUGCACAAAGGACGCACGCAGGACUCUCCUUUAUAGCUGACAGCCCUGGGACAGCGCGCAAGAUCAGUUGCAUUGCUUCAGGGACGAACCAAAGUGAAACAGCCGAGCAGCCGAAGGGCUCCUCUUAGCAAGCAACGCUGACAGUCAGUCCGAUCCACAACUCACGGAGCGACCCAGGAGCUUCAGAUGAUGGAGCUGCGUUCAUUUGGAUCUGUGUUUCAGGGGACUUCCCAAGUCUCGAACAGCUGCCAAAUUUCCGGGGCCUUGGGAUCAAAGGAGUGAUGUCCAGCCAGAAAACGGAUCAAACCCUAACACCCCUCCUUUGAGGAAUUAAACAUUGCUGCACUGGU